UACAGAGGCCUCAAGCGUUGUUCGGAAUUACUGGGCGUAAAGGGAAUGUAGGUGGUCGGAUAAGUCAGAUGUGAAAGCCCUGGGCUUAACCUGGGAAGUGCAUUUGAUACUGUCCGGCUGGAGUGCGAGAGAGGAAAUCGGAAUUCCUGGUGUAGGGGUGAAAUCCGUAGAUAUCAGGAGGAAUACCGAUGGCGAAGGCAGGUUUCUGGCUCGUAACUGACACUGAGAUUCGAAAGCAUGGGUAGCAAACAGG
This 253-nucleotide ribosomal RNA is filed under the name uncultured bacterium. RNAcentral's name for it is "partial 16S ribosomal RNA". It matches the Rfam family "Bacterial small subunit ribosomal RNA", at positions 524 to 776 of the family's 1533-position model. The record is from RNAcentral.